GUAAUUAUAAAGCUUUUUCCCUGUCUUAGGACGAGAAGCGGGGAGACAAUUGUCCAGAACGCCCAGGGUGUGGGCCUGCUUCAGACAAAGAAAGAGGAUCCUGUGGAAAGGGAAAAGGAGAGGAGAGGAGAGAAGGACGGGGAGACGGAGGAAAACCUGGAGGAGGACCACCAGAGGGAUGCGGACGAGGCAGCUGUGGUGGUGGUCCACCCAAUAAAUAAUGAAGAAAUCCUUGAUAGGCCAUUCUGUAAUAUGGUGAUAUAUACAUCUCUAAUAAACUAAUCCAUAAAAGGGCAA
Long non-coding RNA from Lates calcarifer (barramundi perch), 297 nucleotides. RefSeq lists it as uncharacterized. Lineage: Eukaryota; Metazoa; Chordata; Actinopteri; Centropomidae. The record is from RefSeq and is a predicted model, not a curated record. The transcript is spliced from 3 exons.